GAAGAAAGCAAAGGUAUUUUAUAUUUUAUUCUCUUUCCUUACGAUUUCAACCUGAGUUCGAAUGUAAAUUCUAAUAUGUUUUCGAUGUGACAUGCAGGCAAGUUCGACGAAAGGAAAAGGUAGUAGACCGACAGGUAGACAUAGCACUAUGGAAAAAGGUGUACUAGAUGUUGACGGCUCUGAACAAUGUUCGUCGUUGACGCCAUUGUCAUCUUCGCAACCAUUUUUGGUACGUAUUUUAUUUCAUUUGGUCCGAGCCUUAUUUAGGGUAUUUUGUAAUGUAGGGUGACAGUAGCAACCAACAAUAGUUACAACGAACAGCUGUGGUUGACAUCGAGGGGCUACAAUUUGUCGAAAAAAAGCGAUGAGCCUUCUUUUAGGAAUGGUCAAGGAUAUCUGCGAAUAUUUUGAUUAGUUCUAGGCUGAUUAUGUAUGGUUUGUGCAAAAAUAUAAUUGUAGCCAAUAGCCAUAUAUUCAUAUUGUAUGGCUUGACUAAUUAUGGCCAGUAGCAUCCAUUUUGUAUUUUCAUUUUAUAUGGCUUGACUAACAAUUAUGGCCAAUAGCCAUGAAAGGCCCUAAAUGGAAAUGAUGAGUUCAUGUGUUUACAAUGAAACUAAGUGGUAAAGUGUUUCCCAUGUAUUUGCAGGUGGUUGUCUUUUAUUUCAAGGAACUGAAACAUCAAGG
This 684-nucleotide long non-coding RNA is filed under the name Olea europaea (common olive). RNAcentral's name for it is "long non-coding RNA (OEUR_LNC007674)". Lineage: Eukaryota; Viridiplantae; Streptophyta; Magnoliopsida; Lamiales; Oleaceae. The record is from RNAcentral.